This 61-nucleotide transfer RNA is filed under the name Hemiselmis tepida. It matches the Rfam family "tRNA", at positions 7 to 64 of the family's 71-position model. From Rfam's summary of the family: Transfer RNA (tRNA) molecules are approximately 80 nucleotides in length. Their secondary structure includes four short double-helical elements and three loops (D, anti-codon, and T loops). The record is from RNAcentral. Lineage: Eukaryota; Cryptophyceae; Cryptomonadales; Hemiselmidaceae.
CUUAGCUCAGUUGGUAGAGCGCGGAGCUUUUAACUCCGUGGUCGUGGGUUCGAGCCCCACA